ACGUAGGGAGCAAGCGUUGUUCGGAUUUACUGGGCGUAAAGGGCGCGUAGGCGGCGCGGUAAGUCACUUGUGAAAUCUCUGAGCUUAACUCAGAACGGCCAAGUGAUACUGCAGUGCUAGAGUGCAGAAGGGGCAAUCGGAAUUCUUGGUGUAGCGGUGAAAUGCGUAGAUAUCUGGAGGAACACCGGUGGCGAAGGCGACAUCCUGGACCGGUAUUGACGCUGAGGCGCGAAAGCCAGGGGAGCAAACGGGA
Molecule: ribosomal RNA, 253 nt
Filed under: uncultured prokaryote
Description: partial 16S ribosomal RNA
Rfam family: Bacterial small subunit ribosomal RNA
Source: RNAcentral